GACGAACGCUGGCGGCGUGCCUAAUACAUGCAAGUCGAGCGAAUUGAUGAAGAAGCUUGCUUCUUCUGAUGUUAGCGGCGGACGGGUGAGUAACACGUGGGCAACCUACCUUAUAGUUUGGGAUAACUCCGGGAAACCGGGGCUAAUACCGAAUAAUCUAUUUCCUCUCAUGGGGAAAUACUGAAAGACGGUUUCGGCUGUCGCUAUAAGAUGGGCCCGCGGCGCAUUAGCUAGUUGGUGAGGUAACGGCUCACCAAGGCAACGAUGCGUAGCCGACCUGAGAGGGUGAUCGGCCACACUGGGACUGAGACACGGCCCAGACUCCUACGGGUGGCAG
This 337-nucleotide ribosomal RNA is filed under the name uncultured Bacillota bacterium. Its description in RNAcentral is "bacterial SSU rRNA". It matches the Rfam family "Bacterial small subunit ribosomal RNA", at positions 28 to 351 of the family's 1533-position model. Lineage: Bacteria; Bacillati; Bacillota. The record is from RNAcentral.